This 264-nucleotide long non-coding RNA is filed under the name Medicago truncatula (barrel medic). Its description in RNAcentral is "lncRNA gene37134". Lineage: Eukaryota; Viridiplantae; Streptophyta; Magnoliopsida; Fabales; Fabaceae. The record is from RNAcentral.
GUGAACUUGAUUAUGAAUUGGUGUAUGAUGAAAACGUGAAUAUGGCUGUUUAUGUGAUGUUCAUCAUAUUUUGUGGUGUUUUGAUCUGUAACUGUAUGAGAGAGAAAGGGAAAAGGUGUUCUUGGUGGUGAUUGGUGACUGAUUUGACUCUCUGACGUGAAUAGUGAUUUUCUCCCCCAUUUCCCAAUGAUUGACAGUGUUUAAAUAGUGACAAAUUAGGGUUGGCUCUGGUACAAACAAAAGACCAAAAUGCCCCUGCAGCUG